This is a long non-coding RNA of Pieris rapae (cabbage white), 543 nucleotides long. RefSeq lists it as uncharacterized. The record is from RefSeq and is a predicted model, not a curated record. Lineage: Eukaryota; Metazoa; Arthropoda; Insecta; Lepidoptera; Pieridae. The transcript has 2 exons.
GCCAGUUUUUUGAUCCGUAGUAAAAAGUGGUAUGACCAUUUGUUACUUUAACUAUAGUUAAAUGACUAACCAGUAGUAAAAUCGUAAAUGCGUUUUUCAAUGUCUAUUUUAACUAUAGUCAAACUUAACAACUGGCCAAUUUGUUGCCAGUGCAAUGAACAAUGACAUCCCAAUAAAAAUGUUUUUUAUUUGUGGGGAAUAUUUAUUUUGUAUGACAACACAAGACAAACUGAGUGAAUGAAAUCCAUUUUUGACAUCUUCAUUCGUUAUUUGUUCUUGAAAAGUUUGAAGUGUCAAAUUAAUCAAAAUAUAAAUAAAGUUGUUUUUCUCUGUUUUAAUACGUUUUACACCUAUAAAGAUACUAAAAUAUAUAAAUAACGAUGUUAGCAAGCAGCCAACGGGCAAACAAGGACCGUACUAACUUGGCUCAAAAUGAAACCACCAAAUUGAUGAUGCUACUCAAGGAUUACCCAGUCCUAACCUGAAAAGAAAUGGAUCACUCCAGCUAUCUAUAAAAACAAAAAGGGAGAGCGUGAUUUGCCG